GUCCAAAAGCUGGAUAUGGAAAUCUAUGCACUAAAGCAACACAUUAACGAUAUUCAUCAGGUGAUAAACCAGCAAAGAACACUUCUCCAAGACGUGUUAACUAUUGUGGAAGACACAGUUGUUACAACAAAUUUGCAUUCGGAGUUAAUUGCCAAAUCCACUGAGUUGCACCAAAGUCAUGACUUAUUCAAGCGUGAACUUUUAUUUCUGCA
Molecule: non-coding RNA, 212 nt
Organism: Pelobates cultripes (western spadefoot toad)
Lineage: Eukaryota; Metazoa; Chordata; Amphibia; Anura; Pelobatidae
Source: the annotation of a GenBank genome assembly